GAUGAACGCUGGCGGCGUGCCUAAUACAUGCAAGUCGAGCGAACAGACGAGGAGCUUGCUCCUCUGACGUUAGCGGCGGACGGGUGAGUAACACGUGGAUAACCUACCUAUAAGACUGGGAUAACUUCGGGAAACCGGAGCUAAUAACGGAUAAUAUAUUGAACCGCAUGGUUCAAUAGUGAAAGACGGUUUUGCUGUUACUUAUAGAUGGUUUCGCGCCGCAUUAGCUAGUUGGUAAGGUAACGGCUUACCAAGGCGACGAUGCGUAGCCGACCUGAGAGGGUGAUCAGCCACACUGGAACUGAGACACGGUCCAGACUCCUACGGGAGGCAGCAGUAGGGAAUCUUCCGCAAUGGGCGAAAGCCUGACGGAGCAACGCCGCGUGAGUGAUGAAGGUCUUCGGAUCGUAAAACUCUUUUAUUAGGGAAGAACAAAUGUGUAAGUAACUAUGCACGUCUUGACGGUACCUAAUCAGAAAGCCACGGCUAACUACGUG
This 497-nucleotide ribosomal RNA is filed under the name uncultured bacterium. RNAcentral describes it as "partial 16S ribosomal RNA". It matches the Rfam family "Bacterial small subunit ribosomal RNA", at positions 28 to 507 of the family's 1533-position model. The record is from RNAcentral.